ACCUGGCUGGCUUAGUGGGUAGGGCAUGUGACUCUUGAUCUCAGGGUUAUGAGUUUGAACCUCAUGGUGGGUG
This 73-nucleotide transfer RNA is filed under the name Ailuropoda melanoleuca (giant panda). It matches the Rfam family "tRNA". From Rfam's summary of the family: Transfer RNA (tRNA) molecules are approximately 80 nucleotides in length. Their secondary structure includes four short double-helical elements and three loops (D, anti-codon, and T loops). Further hydrogen bonds mediate the characteristic L-shaped molecular structure. tRNAs have two regions of fundamental functional importance: the anti-codon, which is responsible for specific mRNA codon recognition, and the 3' end, to which the tRNAs corresponding amino acid is attached (by aminoacyl-tRNA synthetases). tRNAs cope with the degeneracy of the genetic code in two manners: having more than one tRNA (with a specific anti-codon) for a particular amino acid; and 'wobble' base-pairing, i.e. permitting non-standard base-pairing at the 3rd anti-codon position. Lineage: Eukaryota; Metazoa; Chordata; Mammalia; Carnivora; Ursidae. The record is from Rfam by way of RNAcentral.